RNAcentral lists this ribosomal RNA (511 nucleotides) under bacterium enrichment culture clone ALO1_GLFRUDD03GQFUX. Its description in RNAcentral is "bacterial SSU rRNA". It matches the Rfam family "Bacterial small subunit ribosomal RNA", at positions 9 to 515 of the family's 1533-position model. The record is from RNAcentral.
GAGUUUGAUCUUGGCUCAGAUUGAACGCUGGCGGCAGGCCUAACACAUGCAAGUCGAGCGGAUGACGGGAGCUUGCUCCUUGAUUCAGCGGCGGACGGGUGAGUAAUGCCUAGGAAUCUGCCUGGUAGUGGGGGACAACGUUUCGAAAGGAACGCUAAUACCGCAUACGUCCUACGGGAGAAAGCAGGGGACCUUCGGGCCUUGCGCUAUCAGAUGAGCCUAGGUCGGAUUAGCUAGUUGGUGGGGUAAUGGCUCACCAAGGCGACGAUCCGUAACUGGUCUGAGAGGAUGAUCAGUCACACUGGAACUGAGACACGGUCCAGACUCCUACGGGAGGCAGCAGUGGGGAAUAUUGGACAAUGGGCGAAAGCCUGAUCCAGCCAUGCCGCGUGUGUGAAGAAGGUCUUCGGAUUGUAAAGCACUUUAAGUUGGGAGGAAGGGCAGUAAGUUAAUACCUUGCUGUCUUGACGUUACCGACAGAAUAAGCACCGGCUAACUCUGUGACAGCACG